Molecule: ribosomal RNA, 717 nt
Filed under: Enterococcus sp.
Lineage: Bacteria; Bacillati; Bacillota; Bacilli; Lactobacillales; Enterococcaceae
Description: bacterial SSU rRNA
Rfam family: Bacterial small subunit ribosomal RNA
Source: RNAcentral
UUCUUUUUCCACCGGAGCUUGCUCCACCGGAAAAAGAGGAGUGGCGAACGGGUGAGUAACACGUGGGUAACCUGCCCAUCAGAAGGGGAUAACACUUGGAAACAGGUGCUAAUACCGUAUAACAAUCAAAACCGCAUGGUUUUGAUUUGAAAGGCGCUUUCGGGUGUCGCUGAUGGAUGGACCCGCGGUGCAUUAGCUAGUUGGUGAGGUAACGGCUCACCAAGGCCACGAUGCAUAGCCGACCUGAGAGGGUGAUCGGCCACAUUGGGACUGAGACACGGCCCAAACUCCUACGGGAGGCAGCAGUAGGGAAUCUUCGGCAAUGGACGAAAGUCUGACCGAGCAACGCCGCGUGAGUGAAGAAGGUUUUCGGAUCGUAAAACUCUGUUGUUAGAGAAGAACAAGGAUGAGAGUAACUGUUCAUCCCUUGACGGUAUCUAACCAGAAAGCCACGGCUAACUACGUGCCAGCAGCCGCGGUAAUACGUAGGUGGCAAGCGUUGUCCGGAUUUAUUGGGCGUAAAGCGAGCGCAGGCGGUUUCUUAAGUCUGAUGUGAAAGCCCCCGGCUCAACCGGGGAGGGUCAUUGGAAACUGGGAGACUUGAGUGCAGAAGAGGAGAGUGGAAUUCCAUGUGUAGCGGUGAAAUGCGUAGAUAUAUGGAGGAACACCAGUGGCGAAGGCGGCUCUCUGGUCUGUAACUGACGCUGAGCUUCGAAA